RNAcentral lists this ribosomal RNA (325 nucleotides) under uncultured Rikenellaceae bacterium. Its description in RNAcentral is "bacterial SSU rRNA". It matches the Rfam family "Bacterial small subunit ribosomal RNA", at positions 1059 to 1382 of the family's 1533-position model. Lineage: Bacteria; Pseudomonadati; Bacteroidota; Bacteroidia; Bacteroidales; Rikenellaceae. The record is from RNAcentral.
CUCCGUGCCGUGAGGUGUCGGGUUAAGUCCCAUAACGAGCGCAACCCCUACUGCUAGUUGCCAGCGGGUCAUGCCGGGGACUCUAGCGGAACUGCCAGCGUAAGCUGCGAGGAAGGUGGGGAUGACGUCAAAUCAGCACGGCCCUUACGUCCAGGGCUACACACGUGUUACAAUGGCCAGUACAGAGGGCAGCCACCCCGCGAGGGGGCGCUAAUCCUAAAAGCUGGUCCCAGUUCGGAUCGGAGUCUGCAACCCGACUCCGUGAAGCUGGAUUCGCUAGUAAUCGCGCAUCAGCCACGGCGCGGUGAAUACGUUCCCGGGCCUU